CCCCCCAGCCGCAGCGGUGGC
Molecule: unclassified non-coding RNA, 21 nt
Filed under: Chlamydomonas reinhardtii
Lineage: Eukaryota; Viridiplantae; Chlorophyta; Chlorophyceae; Chlamydomonadales; Chlamydomonadaceae
Description: small RNA Cre_1042
Source: RNAcentral